GACGAACGCUGGCGGCGUGCUUAACACAUGCAAGUCGAACGGCAAGGCCCUGCUAUUGUGGGGUGCUCGAGUGGCGAACGGGUGAGUAACACGAGAGUAACCUGCCCUUGACUUUGGGAUAACUUCAGGAAACUGGGGCUAAUACCGGAUAGGAGCCCCUGCUGCAUGGUGGGGGUUGGAAAGUUUCGGCGGUUGGGGAUGGACUCGCGGCUUAUCAGCUUGUUGGUGGGGUAGUGGCUUACCAAGGCUUUGACGGGUAGCCGGCCUGAGAGGGUGACCGGCCACAUUGGGACUGAGAUACGGCCCAGACUCCUACAGGAGGCAGCAGUGGGGAAUAUUGCACAAUGGUCGGAAGCCUGAUGCAGCAACGCCGCGUGCGGGAUGACGGCCUGCGGGGUGUAAACCGCUUUCGCCUGUGACGAAGCGUGAGUGACGGUAAUGGGUAAAGAAGCACCGGCUAACUACGUG
RNAcentral lists this ribosomal RNA (468 nucleotides) under uncultured bacterium. RNAcentral describes it as "partial 16S ribosomal RNA". It matches the Rfam family "Bacterial small subunit ribosomal RNA", at positions 28 to 507 of the family's 1533-position model. The record is from RNAcentral.